CAGUGCUUGCUUACUUUAUAGCACGCAGGUCUAACUUUGACUUGUGGGGUGGGACCAUCAAGACUCGCUCAGCACAUAAUUUUUUUCCUUGGGAGGCAGUUUCUUGGCAAUGCACCAGAGACGCCCCC
Small nuclear RNA from Aethina tumida (small hive beetle), 128 nucleotides. RefSeq annotates it as U11 spliceosomal RNA. NCBI's taxonomy places the organism in Eukaryota, Metazoa, Arthropoda, Insecta, Coleoptera, Nitidulidae. The transcript has a single exon. The record is from RefSeq and is a predicted model, not a curated record.